This 3445-nucleotide long non-coding RNA is filed under the name Xyrichtys novacula (pearly razorfish). The record is from RNAcentral. Lineage: Eukaryota; Metazoa; Chordata; Actinopteri; Labriformes; Labridae.
GGGUAUUACCUUCAGGAAGCCCGAACACCCCAAAUAUAUAUUUUUUAUUUUUCUUUUUGUUUUGGUCUAACUUGCUCUCAAAGUUUGGAAAAGAGUUCCUACAAAGGUUUUGGACAGUGAUUUUUACCCUCACGCCGAAAAACCUUAAACCUUACCCUAGCCCCAUAACCUAAUACCCGGGUAUUUCCUUCAGGAAGCCCGAACACCCCAAAUAUACAUUUUUUAUUUUUGUUUUGGUCUAACUUGCUCUCAAAGGUUGGAAAAGAGUUCCUACAAAGGUUUUGGACAUUGAUUUUAACCCUAACGCCAAAAACCUUAAACAUUACCCUAGCCCAGAAACCUAGUAUUACCUUCAGGAAGCCCGAACACCCAAAAAAAUUUUUUUUCAUUUUACAUUUUUUUGGUGUAACCAACUCCAAAAGGUCUGAAACAUGUUCCUAAAAAGGUUUUGGACAGUGAUUUUAACCCUUACGCCAAAAACCUUAAACCUAACCCUAGCCCCAUAACCUAAUACCCGGGUAUUACCUUCAGGAAGCCCGAACACCCCAAAUAUAUAUUUUUUAUUUUUCUUUUUUUUUUGGUCUAACUUGCUCUCAAAGUUUGGAAAAGAGUUCCUACAAAGGUUUUGGACAUUGAUUUUAACCCUAACGCCAAAAACCUUAAACAUUACCCUAGCCCAGAAACCUAGUAUUACCUUCAGGAAGCCCGAACACCCAAAAAAAUUUUUUUUCAUUUUACAUUUUUUUGGUGUAACCAACUCCAAAAGGUCUGAAACAUGUUCCUAAAAAGGUUUUGGACAGUGAUUUUAACCCUUACGCCAAAAACCUUAAACCUAACCCUAGCCCCAUAACCUAAUACCCGGGUAUUACCUUCAGGAAGCCCGAACACCCCAAAUAUUUUUUUUUCAUUUAUCUUUUUUUUUUUGGUCUAAUUAACUCCAAAAGGUUGGAAAAGACUUCCUACAAAGGUUUUGGACAGUGAUUUUAACCCUCACGCCAAAAACCUUAAACCUUAACCUAGCCCCAUAACCUAAUACCCGGCUAUUACCUUCAGGAAGCCCGAACAACCCAAAUAUAUAUUUUUUCUUUUUCUUUUUUUUUUUGGUCAAACUAGCUCCAAAAGGUCUGAAACAUGUUCCUUAAAAAAUAUUGGACAGUGAUUUUAACCCUUACGCCAAAAACCUUAAACCUAAUCCAAGCCCCAUAACCUAAUACUUAAACCUGAAGGGUAUUACCUUCAGGAAGCCCGAACAACCUAAAUAUUUUUUUUUUUCAUUUUACAUUUUUUUUUGGUGUAACCAACUCCAAAAGGUCUGAAUCUUGUUUCUUAAAAGGUUUUGGACAGUGAUUUUAACUCUAACACCAAAAACCUUAAACCUUACCUUAGCCCCAAAACCUAAUACCUUCAGGAAGCCCGAAAACCCCAAAUAUUUUUUUUUUUUCUUUUUUUUUGGUCUAACUAACUCCAAAAGGUCUGAAACAUGUUCCUUAAAAAAAAUUGGACAGUGAUUUUAACCCUAACGCCAAAAACCUUAAACCUAAUCCUAGCCCCAAAACCUAAUACCCGUAUAUUACCUUCAGGAAGCCCGAACACCCCAAAUAUAUUUUUUUCAUUUUACAUUUUUUUAUUGGUCUAACUAACUCCAAAAGGUUGGAAAAGACUUCCUACAAAGGUUUUGGACAGUGAUUUUAACUCCACGCCAAAAACCUUAAACCUUAACCUAGCCCCAUGAUGGGAGUCACGCGACGUGAUGCGAGAGGAAGCCACGGAGUAGGGAGCUCCGCACUUCAUUGCUAUCUUUAUCCUGUUUAAUAUCAACACCAGAUAUAUUAUCACUCAGACUAAGUACUUUUAGUUGAAGGGGGUGCUAAAAAUGUCGAAACUUUCUAAGACUUCAGGCUGUGGAGACAUAAAAAGACUACUACGGUCUCAGGGGGCCGACGCCAUGAUGCAAGAUGGAGCUAAAGCGCCCAAGCAGCAGCAAGCUAACGACUUAGCUCAAGAUAUUAGCAACAUCUACUCAAUGCUUACAAAGAUUUCUGAAGAUCUCGGGGGGCUCGCAGAAAUACGUCGCACCACAGCGUCGGUGGAAGCUAAACUAUCAUCCCUUAUUACAAGAAUGGACGACGUAGAGAAACGAGUGGAGUACUUGGAAGUGACUGAGCAGGGCUGGCAAGCUAACCCGCCAGCUAACAAGGCUGAUAUCGCACAGAUAUGGGACAAAUUAGAGGACAUCGAGAAUCGCUCAAGGCGUAACAACGUUCGUUUCGUCGGCUUUCCGGAGGGUAAGGAGGCAGGAGACGUGGUGAGAUUUCUGGAGGAGCUGUUGCCGAGUCUGCUAAACAUCGAGGGGAGACGGGAGAUUGAACGGGCCCACCGGGUCCCGAGCCAGAGACCAGCGCCAGGCGACCGGCCCAGACCAAUACUGGCCCGGUUUUUGAGAUCGUUGGACCGGGAUGCGGUGAUGAGAGCAGCGAGGAACAAAGGCAAGCUGACCUGGGGGAAUACUACUGUCAUGCUUUUCCCCGAUUACUCCAGGGCCACCCAGAUGAAGCGUGAGAAAUUCAAAGAUUGCAAGAAAAAACUGCACGACCGAGGGGUUGGUUUCAGGAUGCUGUUCCCAGCUAAGCUGAGAAUUGAGACCGGCAGCGGUGAGAAAGCUUUUGAGUGCCCACGGAAAGCCAUGGCCUUCAUAGAUGCUUUGCAGUGAGUAUUGAUGGAUGGAGGUGUUCAUAUUGGUAUCCUGCGCGCCCAAACGUCUGCUGAGGACACUGGUGUUGCCUUAUUUUCCUGUGCGGUAGCGGUGAGUGAGGGAUCACGACAAGUGGAGCCCCGCGGACCUGACACGGACCGUCAGACCUCGGUUAGAGGGACUUUUGAGGGGGUUAGAAUGUGCAAAGUUCAGGUUUAAUUGCACUAAAUUUGUGUUAUUUAUUAUUAUUAUUUAUUUUUUUUCUUGGGGGAGGUGGCGGGGUACAGUCACCACCACUGUUAGGAUAUUGCUUUUGAUAAACGGCCAUGUGUUAUCGAUGAUUAGGCAGACAUGUCUUCACAAUUAAAUUUAAUGCGUCUCUCCACUUGGAAUGUUAAUGGUUUGGGGAAUCCCGUCAAGAGAAAAAAGGUGAUGGCCAUCCUUAAGGCCAAAAAAUAUGAUGUGGUGUUUCUUCAAGAAACUCACAUGUCAAAAGAAGAAUCUGAGAAGCUCUGUGUAGGAUGGGUUGGACAUGUUUUUUACAGUGUAGGCUCCAGCAAGAGUAAAGGGGUUAUAAUUUUAGUAAGUAAACAUCUACAAUUUAAGUGUCUCAAGCAAAUAAGAGAUAAUACAGGUAGGAUGAUUAUAGUACUGGCUGAAAUACAGUCGCAGAAACUAAUUUUGGCCAAUAUAUAUGCUCCUAAUCUGGACGAUCAAUCUUUUUUCUCUGAUCUUGAAGGGAAGUUACAAAUA